GUAACACUGCCACAGUCCUCAAGGCUAUAUUUGCCCAUAGGAUACAAUGAAGUCCAUUGCUUGAUUUCUUUUUGCACUUAAGAAACCAGAUUGUGAACACUCACAGUGCUCCACAUGAAUGCAAAAUCUCAAGUAUGUUUGUGCAGCAAACAAAGUUGAGAGUGAUUAUAGAGAAGUUCAAUUGCUGAAGGAAGGUUUUUUCUGCUUAUAUAUAAGCAGUUGAUAGUGUCUAUUCAAGAGACACAAACAUAGCGGUUAUUCCAUCAUAUCUUAACUGUUGAAAACUGAAAAAAUUCAAACUGAAUUUUAUCCAUUGUGGUUUUAUUUUCAAAUUAUACAACAUUUCCUUGACCAUAUAUGUCAUGAAAUUU
RNAcentral lists this unclassified non-coding RNA (371 nucleotides) under Hevea brasiliensis (rubber tree). Lineage: Eukaryota; Viridiplantae; Streptophyta; Magnoliopsida; Malpighiales; Euphorbiaceae. The record is from RNAcentral.